AGAGCGAACGCUGGCGGCGUGCUUAACACAUGCAAGUCGAACGCGCAGCAUUCUGUAGCAAUACAGGGUGUGGGCGCGUGGCGAACGGGUGCGUAACACGUGGAUAACCUUCCUUCAGGUGGGGAAUAACCCAGUGAAAAUUGGGCUAAUACCGCAUAACAAAACGAUGAGACAUCUUGUUGUUUUCAAAGGCGCAAGUCGCCAGAAGAGGGAUCCGCGGCCGAUUAGCUUGUUGGCGAGGUAAUGGCUCACCAAGGCAAUGAUCGGUAGCCGGACUGAGAGGUUGGCCGGCCACACUGGAACUGAGACACGGUCCAGACUCCUACGGGAGGCAGCAGUGGGGAAUCUUGCACAAUGGGCGAAAGCCUGAUGCAGCAACGCCGCGUGGGGGAUGAAGCUUCUCGGAGUGUAAACCCUUUCGACCCGGAAGAAGCCCGCAAGGGUUGACGGUACGGGUAUAAGAAGCCCGGCUAACUACGUGCCAGCAGCCGCGGUAA
Molecule: ribosomal RNA, 497 nt
Filed under: uncultured bacterium
Lineage: Bacteria
Description: SSU rRNA
Rfam family: Bacterial small subunit ribosomal RNA
Source: RNAcentral